UCGUGGAUCAGUGGCGAACGGGUGAGUAACACGUGAGUAACCUGCCCUCCACUCUGGGAUAAGCGCUGGAAACGGCGUCUAAUACUGGAUACGACCGACCCUCGCAUGGGGUGUUGGUGGAAAGAUUUAUCGGUGGAGGAUGGACUCGCGGCCUAUCAGCUUGUUGGUGGGGUAAUGGCCUACCAAGGCGACGACGGGUAGCCGGCCUGAGAGGGCGACCGGCCACACUGGGACUGAGACACGACCCAAACAUAUACGGGAGGGAGCAGUGGGGAAUAUUGCACAAUGGGCGAAAGCCUG
RNAcentral lists this ribosomal RNA (300 nucleotides) under Kytococcus sedentarius. Its description in RNAcentral is "bacterial SSU rRNA". It matches the Rfam family "Bacterial small subunit ribosomal RNA", at positions 85 to 385 of the family's 1533-position model. The record is from RNAcentral. Lineage: Bacteria; Bacillati; Actinomycetota; Actinomycetes; Micrococcales; Kytococcaceae.